CCUGAGAAACCCAAAAGAUCGAAUGAGGAGAUUCAUCGUCAGCGACUCUGGCUUACGUGCGGUUUUCUAGCGAUGGCCGUUGCCCUUUCGGGGUUUACGCGUCACGCGGCCGCUGCGGCAUGUCCCUCGUCGUCGGCGUGCACUUCUCCUCUAGUAGGACGUCGCGACCCGUUGGGUGUCGGCCUACGGCCCGAUCGGUCGACUGUCGCGGACCGCGCUCUUACGAGCGUGCUGUUUUGCGCGACAGACCAUCGGUUGCCUGGCCGGCUGCCCGGCGGUAAUGAUCGAGCAAUAUUGGUAUUGAGCCGCAUCUGUGCGUUCUUGGCUCGUCGGCAGGCUCGCCUCGCUCGGAUUUACGGACCUAGCGCCGUUGUCGGGUGCUUGGCGUUGCCGUUAGUCGACAAUGUCCUCGGACUGGCUCCGUUACAUUCGAACGAAUAUACCGGUCGGCGACGCUACUGCUUUGGGUACUUUC
RNAcentral lists this ribosomal RNA (475 nucleotides) under Epiclerus sp. RDB-1999. Its description in RNAcentral is "eukaryotic LSU rRNA". The record is from RNAcentral. Lineage: Eukaryota; Metazoa; Arthropoda; Insecta; Hymenoptera; Tetracampidae.